RNAcentral lists this ribosomal RNA (441 nucleotides) under uncultured bacterium. Its description in RNAcentral is "partial 16S ribosomal RNA". It matches the Rfam family "Bacterial small subunit ribosomal RNA", at positions 338 to 795 of the family's 1533-position model. The record is from RNAcentral.
CCUACGGGAGGCAGCAGUGGGGAAUAUUGCACAAUGGGCGAAAGCCUGAUGCAGCAACGCCGCGUGAAGGAAGAAGGCCUUCGGGUCGUAAACUUCUGUCCUUGGGGAAGAAGAACUGACGGUACCCAAGGAGGAAGCCCCGGCUAACUACGUGCCAGCAGCCGCGGUAAUACGUAGGGGGCAAGCGUUAUCCGGAAUUAUUGGGCGUAAAGAGUACGUAGGUGGCAACCUAAGCGCAGGGUUUAAGGCAAUGGCUCAACCAUUGUUCGCCCUGCGAACUGGGAUGCUUGAGUGCAGGAGAGGAAAGCGGAAUUCCUAGUGUAGCGGUGAAAUGCGUAGAUAUUAGGAGGAACUCCGAUUGCGAAGGCAGUUCACUGGACUGCAACUGACACUGAGGCUCGAAAGUGUGGGUAUCAAACAGGAUUAGAUACCCCUGUAGUC